GAAUGGCAGGAUUAGAGUGCAGGGGCCAGCUAGGGCCUCCAGGGAGACUGGCCCCUGGUGCUCCAGGAGAGCAGAGAGCAGCGCAUGGCUCAGCCCUUGUCACUCAGGUGAGGAAACUGAGCCUGAGCCUGAACAAGGAUGAGGAAACUUGAGGCUCAGAAUGGUUAAUUACCUUGCCCAAGGUUACUGAUUAGUAAACCACUGGGUAGGGACUCAAGCCCACAUCUGUCUACCAGCAAAGGCUGUCCAUACUACACCAUGUUAUCUCCAAAUGAAGCCUCAUAUGAAGUUGCUGCAGAAACUCGAGGGGAAAAAAGGACUUUUAGGUCUUCUGGAACUAUACCUCACAUCUAGUCUCAGUGAAUCUGCCCCAUCUCAUAGCGCUGGGUCCUGGGAGGAGGAGCAGGAGGAGGUGUGUCCACCAGCUCCCUCCCCUUCUUCCUGCUGUGUGCCUGCUUCCUAAGAAGCAAAGACACACUUGAGUUAGGAUCAACACGAGGAGCCCACAGUGAGUUGAUGUGACACAUGCAGCUCCCUGGGUGGCAGAGUGGGCUUCUUGUGGGGUGACAGUCAAUGAGAGUUCUGGACGUGUGUGGACAAGAUGGUGUGCUGAUCACGAGUGAAUGUACAGGCAAGGCUGCCCAGGAAACAGGCUACUUCCUAACCGAGGUUCCCUGGAGUGGCUGGUGGGGCACAGCACCCACCAUGUGGACACUUUGUCUUCCCCAUACUAAUAACAGCAAAUAGCAUUAUCAUCUGGCAGGGGCUCUUCUAAGUGCUUUACAAAUGUUAACUCAUGAAUCCUCACAGCAGCCCUAUGUGGUAGGGACUAUUAUUACCCCUGUUUCAUAAAGUUACAGCGCCUUUAAGUAACUACCCCAAGGUCAGAGCAGAGGAGCCCUUCUUAACACCUUAGAGACACUAACAGGUGCCUGACAAAUACUAACUGAUGUGUGAAAAGGAUUAGUAUGUCCUCACAGAUCCCAGCAUCUCAGAGCUGGAAGUUGUUUUAAGAGACCCUCAGAUUCAGACCCUUCGUCUUAGGCACAAACUCAGGCCCCAAGAGGGAUAGUAACUCAUUCAACAACAGCACUGAUGCUUUUGGUAGAUGCCUGCAGCUGUUUCCCAUGCUCCUGGCUUGGCACAAAGGCCUGCCCUCCCUGAGUCUCCCAGGGAUCUGCUGUUACUCCAGGAGCGCCCACCAGCAAGCUCACGAGUCCAGGGAGAGCCCAGCACUUUUCCACAUGCAGGUGUUCAUUGCUCUAAUCGUUUCUGGGGUGGAGGUAGGGUACCGCAAGGUAUGGUCCAACGACCAAAGCUGGUCUGUGCACUGUUGAGGUCCGGGACCAGAUAUGGACAAACAGCAGACAUGAGUUCCUGCACUAGAAGGACAACUCCUUGAGGACAGGGAUGCUCUUCAUCUGAGCCCGGAAUCUGCCACUAAGUUAUCCUCCAAAGAUGCUGGUUAUACAACUACAAGCCAAGCGAGGUCAGAGAAGAGGGUCGGAGCCCAAACAGAGAAGACAGCCGUGGGUGUCGGAGGAGAAAAGACUGAAAGGGAAGCUGAAGAAAGGAAUGGGGAGGAGACCAGGAAAAAGGAGGAAGAGAGAGAGCUCAGAACUGAGGAAACCUGCACGAAAAUGCACGAUCUGGAAACAGACAGAAAGAAUUGUGAAAAGCAGAACUGUGCGAACCUCUUUUAAAAUUCAGCCUUUAGAGAUUAUCUAGUCCAAACCCUGCCUUUAUGGGGAGGAAAAAUAAAGGUCUCUGUAGGGAAACACUUGCCAAGAUAAUGUGCAGGGAGUUAAUGGCAGACCCAGGAUAAGAGCCUGAUAGAGUCAGACAAGCCUGAUGACUUUGAUUUCUGGUUAUAAGCUGUGUGAUACUGGGCAAGUUAGUUUCUCAUUCUGAGCCAGUUUACUCAUCAAUGAAGAUGAAGUUAAUCAUGUCUCUAUCUCGUAGCCUAAUUGUAAGAAUUAAAUGAGAUGCUGUAAAUAAAGUUGCCUGCAUGUGCCUG
Molecule: long non-coding RNA, 2017 nt
Organism: Saimiri boliviensis boliviensis (Bolivian squirrel monkey)
Lineage: Eukaryota; Metazoa; Chordata; Mammalia; Primates; Cebidae
Source: RefSeq, a predicted model, not a curated record